Long non-coding RNA from Manis pentadactyla (Chinese pangolin), 987 nucleotides. RefSeq lists it as uncharacterized. The record is from RefSeq and is a predicted model, not a curated record. The transcript is spliced from 2 exons. NCBI's taxonomy places the organism in Eukaryota, Metazoa, Chordata, Mammalia, Pholidota, Manidae.
UGCUGAAAUGCUUGCAAAUCUGGGCUACCAGGCGGGCUGCAAAGUCUCGGAGUGCCCAGUGGUUGUCCACAUCUGGCCGCAGGCACAGCUGUCUGCUUACAAUGCAGGUCAUCACUGCUGGAAUCAACUCAUGCACCUAAAGGAGAAGUGAAGUAAAGCUCCCGACCCCCACCAGAGGCAAACCGGAAAGGAAUGAACUCCUGAGCAUGGAAGCCAUAGAGUGGCUGUACCGGGAGAGAGACAUAGAUGAGAACGGAACUUGCAGAGGUGUGGCUCAGGCAAAUGCAGGUCUGGGAGGUGCCUGCGUCCCCAUCACCUCAACAUUCUUGAGCUUCAGCGCAUAAUCAAUAUCACUGGUGGUAAGCUUCUGCCGCUUCCCCAUGUGCAUGAACUUUAAGGCAUCCUGCGGGUAGGAGAACACACGUCAGCCCAAGACCUGGAGGCAGAAGGGGCCUGGGCGGCACUGUCUGCACCGUGCGGGCUGGGCUACCUGGGCAAUCUCCUUGAUGCGGUAGCUGACCUCAUCUGUCAGCAGCUGGCAGGUCUCCUCCUGAAUCUGAGCGAUACCCAUCGACUCAGCCACCACCUUCAUCGACUCCGAGGGCAGCACGGUAUUGCUGAGCUUCAGCUUCUUCUCCUCAGCCAUUCUGGAGCCCCUGCAGGCCCUCCCCCAAAGGAUGAUACCCCGGGGUGGAGCGCUGGAGACCCUGGCAGGGGGAUGGGAUGAGCAGAAGAGAAAAAAGAAACAUGAGACCCAAAGGAGAGAGGCUGUCCUGUCAGGAGAGGCCACAACACGGAGGACAGUGUGGCUGCAGAGAGGGAAGGUCUCUGUCCAUCUCCACAAGUCAGCACCAGGUGUAAGAGAAGGAGGUGGCAAUCUGAUCCAAGUCAACACAGUUUGAGCUCUGAUUCUGUGCCAGGCCCUGUACGAGUGAGGUAUAGUAGAACGAACGUGGCCCUCAAUUUAAAUCCCAGCCCUGGCACAAC